CAUUGUCCCAAGGGGGUCCACAUUUUUGUGAAUUUAUGAUCCAAGCACAAUUCCAUAAGAAAAAGUGAUAAAAAGGAAACAGAGUAAAAGGGGGUGGGAACGUGGGAGAAUAGGGUGAGAACACGGUCUUGAAACAGAGGAGAAAACCUAGCGCCGCAGAUCUUCCUUACAAAAAAUCACGCGCAAACACUCUGAGAGGAGAUAGCCAAAAUCCCUAAAUCAACAGUCACCUUCAACAGACCACCAAAAAAUCGCUGAUCUCCCUCUCUCUCUCACUCACAACCCUUUAUCACCACAACAACCAGCUUCUUCUUCCAUCUCCGACUCUCAGCCCCGACAAACUCAUACCAAAACCAAAAAAAAAAGAAAAACGGAAAGAAAUCUAGACAAAAAUUUUGGGAGAAAGAGAUUAGGAUUCGUCUUUAGUUUCAUUUGACUUUUCCUUUUAUUCUCUUCUCAAUUCCAGGGAAAGAUACUAAUAAAAAUUUUAAAUUUUUUUGGUUCUCAAUUUUGCUUCAAAAAUCUGAAAAUUCAAAAAAAAAUGGAAAAGAAUUCCGUUUCUUCCUCUGGAUUUUCGUUUGAAAUGGAAGGAAGCUGAGGUGAGUGUUCAAAGCUUUGGAGUUGUCGUUCGUGGUUUAGGAGCGCAGUUUCGGGAGUGAAUCAGUCUCUGUUCUCGCCGGAUUUCGGACUCCGUGUUUGUAGCUAUUUUCUUCAUUCUGCUCAUAUAUUCAAGGGGUUUUAUUCUAACAGGUUCAUCUCAGACUUUCUCUUCUCGUGGUUUUCUCUGUUUGCUAUGUAUUAAGCUUGAAAAGUGCCAUUUGAGAAUGGAUGGAGUUUUGUGCUUGUUUGGUCGAUAUCUUCUAUUAAAUUGCUUUUAAUUGAUUGUUUUGAUCUUGAAUGGAUUUUGUGCUCAAGAGGAACAAAAUACUUUGUUAGUAGUUAACAUCUAUUUUGUUAAAAUAGUCAUAUAAUUUGUUUCACUAUUUAGUUAUUCUCCAGUAAGGUUCUUGAAUUCAAACUUUUGGUGUUGUAGAAUUGAAGUGGCCCUCUUGUUAACUAUAUCUAGGAUAAAAAGUGUCUUUCUAUGGGUUUCACUUCAUUUUAAUUAGCGAUUUGGUCCGAAAUCUAUCUGUUCUUUUGAUUAGAAAUAAUGUCACGAUUCAUGUUAUUUAUGUUGAGGGUUUUUAACUAUGAAUAGUUCUAGUUGGAAUGGGAAAGUAAAGUUAUUUAUGAGGAUGGCACAUUAAUUGGUUUGAAAAUUUCACUUCGUGUCAAUUUUGAAGAUGCCAUUUUGGAAGAUCAAGAUGAAGUCCUCGAAGAGAUGGUGCUUGAAGAUACUGUCGCCGAGGAUGCACCCCGAGAUUAGAUUAGACUUUUGGCUUUUAUUAUAUAUGUACUUUUUUGCUUCACUGUUUCUGUUUAAGGACCCCUCAUGGGCUUUUGUAAUCAUAUGUAAGGAUCCCUCGUGGGCUUUUGUAAUUACGAUUUAUUAAUACAAGGAUAUUUCUUCGAUUUGUCUCUGAUUUAUAUUGAAUUCCCUCUUUAUUUACGUUUGUGAAAAUUCUAAAUGCAUGACUGUACCGAUUGAUACGAAUAUCGAGCCCGGGUGUAAGUAUUUCUUUUGGCUAUUGAUUGAUUAACACGA
Molecule: long non-coding RNA, 1645 nt
Filed under: Nicotiana tabacum (common tobacco)
Lineage: Eukaryota; Viridiplantae; Streptophyta; Magnoliopsida; Solanales; Solanaceae
Description: long non-coding RNA (NTAB_LNC010392)
Source: RNAcentral